This is a non-coding RNA of Podospora fimiseda, 98 nucleotides long. The record is from the annotation of a GenBank genome assembly. Lineage: Eukaryota; Fungi; Ascomycota; Sordariomycetes; Sordariales; Podosporaceae.
GGGCGUGUGGCUCAGUUGGUAGAGCGCCCGCUUAGCAUCAUCUCAAGUUUGAGAUCCCGCCAUGCGGAAGGUCCCCGGUUCGAUUCCGGGCUCGUCCA